GGCCAGGUAGCUCAGUUGGUAGAGCAGCGGACUGAAAAUCCGCGUGUCGACGGUUCGAUUCCGCCCCUGGCCA
This 73-nucleotide transfer RNA is filed under the name Gemmatimonadetes bacterium RIFCSPLOWO2_02_FULL_71_11. Its description in RNAcentral is "tRNA-Phe". It matches the Rfam family "tRNA". Rfam says of the family: Transfer RNA (tRNA) molecules are approximately 80 nucleotides in length. The record is from RNAcentral. RNAcentral also lists the same sequence under 3 other names. Lineage: Bacteria; Pseudomonadati; Gemmatimonadota.